GCCUGUGUAGCUCAGUCAGCAGAGCGCCACUUUCGUAAAGUGGAAGUCGGGGGUGCAAAUCCCUCCACAGGCU
This 73-nucleotide transfer RNA is filed under the name Candidatus Pacearchaeota archaeon CG10_big_fil_rev_8_21_14_0_10_34_12. RNAcentral describes it as "tRNA-Thr". It matches the Rfam family "tRNA". From Rfam's summary of the family: Transfer RNA (tRNA) molecules are approximately 80 nucleotides in length. Their secondary structure includes four short double-helical elements and three loops (D, anti-codon, and T loops). Lineage: Archaea; Nanobdellati. The record is from RNAcentral.